RNAcentral lists this transfer RNA (73 nucleotides) under Omnitrophica bacterium RIFCSPHIGHO2_02_FULL_63_14. RNAcentral's name for it is "tRNA-Thr". It matches the Rfam family "tRNA". Rfam says of the family: Transfer RNA (tRNA) molecules are approximately 80 nucleotides in length. The record is from RNAcentral. Lineage: Bacteria; Pseudomonadati; Candidatus Omnitrophota.
GCUGGGGUAGCUCAGUCGGUAGAGCAGCAGUUUUGUAAACUGCGGGUCGCCAGUUCGAUCCUGGCCCCCAGCU